This 202-nucleotide ribosomal RNA is filed under the name uncultured bacterium. Its description in RNAcentral is "partial 16S ribosomal RNA". It matches the Rfam family "Bacterial small subunit ribosomal RNA", at positions 1299 to 1500 of the family's 1533-position model. The record is from RNAcentral.
UGCAGGCUGCAACUCGCCUGUAUGAAGUCGGAAUUGCUAGUAAUCGCGGAUCAGCAUGCCGCGGUGAAUACGUUCCCGGGCCUUGUACACACCGCCCGUCACACCAUGAGAGUCGGGAACACCCGAAGUCCGUAGUCUAACCGCAAGGAGGGCGCGGCCGAAGGUGGGCUUGAUAAUUGGGGUGAAGUCGUAACAAGGUACC